Molecule: non-coding RNA, 1041 nt
Organism: Pocillopora verrucosa
Lineage: Eukaryota; Metazoa; Cnidaria; Anthozoa; Scleractinia; Pocilloporidae
Source: RefSeq, a predicted model, not a curated record
UGUAGUAAAUGGAUGUAAGGUUUUCAGUCGAAGGUGAGAGAGGAGACAUGAACUGAAUCGCCAAAGGCUACAAAACAUACGAAUGGGGAUACAGGUCUCGUGUUGGUCAGGAGCCGAAUGAGUCAGUCUUCGGAAAGGGAAUGGCGCUGCAAAUCAGUUCCGUGACAUUUUUUCAUGUUGCGGUUGUUACAGAGUACAGACAAACAUUUCUGCCCGAAUUUUAGGUCCUCGAAUCUUCGAAAACAUCAGAAAUACUGAAGAAUGACUAAUCAUUGGAUUGGAUUCGCAAGGAUCCGCAAAGACCUUGUGUUUUUGGGCUAUGGGUCAAGCAGUGUUUAAUAGGAACCGAAUGAAGCGUGUACCCAAAGGCCAAUCUGUCUUCACAGUCGUAACAUGAAAUAAUUUAGCUUCGUGCCAAACAGUGGCAGAAGGUUGCUGGUUGGCAAACUUCCUAGAAGCCAGUUUGGCAGUGAUAGCGGCCUGAAGAAGGAGCAGCACUAAAGAGGACAGUCAAAGAACCUGCAAAUGAAAGCAAUAAAAGAUCAGAGUCAAGUUUUGAAUUUCUGGCUUGACGACGAAGCAGCCCCUACAGCCCUAUAAAAGAGAGGAGUUGUAUAUUGACGAGGAAGGGGACAUCGCAGAAGAGUUCAGCUGAUAACCAGUAAAUCAGGAAAUCCACGAAAAGAAGAGUUCGAAGCUACGAUCUAUCCAAAGCUGGGUGUUCCAAGAUAACGACAUCACUCUAAUCAAUCUGAAGUGUAGGCGAUUUUUGAAAUCUGGUGAACACACUGCGAGGAUACCUUGUGUGAAAGAUGCCCUCUUCUGAAAUACAGAAAGUCGGAGCAAUGUUACGAGAACUUGGAGACCUGACGAACCAAAGCGCUCAAGGAAAUCGUCCGGCCAACGAAAAUAUUGUCGUAAUCCUACUAGUCUUCUUUAUUUAUCUCUGCUGGACUCAUAACCAGCAGAGACGAGAAAUCUAGAAUGCUGACGAGAGAGGCACCAUAACUCUGACCAAUUAAUCAAUUCAUCAGCAUUAAU